Molecule: ribosomal RNA, 479 nt
Filed under: uncultured bacterium
Lineage: Bacteria
Description: partial 16S ribosomal RNA
Rfam family: Bacterial small subunit ribosomal RNA
Source: RNAcentral
GAUGAACGCUGGCGGCGUGCUUAACACAUGCAAGUCGAACGAAGUGUUUAUUCAAAGUUCUUCGGGAUGGAGAAUAAAUUACUUAGUGGCGGACGGGCGAGUAACGCGUGGGUAACCUGCCUCACACAGGGGGUUAACAGUUGGAAACGACUGCUAAUACCGCAUAAGACCACGGCACUGCAUGGUGCAGGGGUAAAAGAGUUGUCGGUGUGAGAUGGACGUGUGUCUGAUUAGAUAGUUGGUGGGGUAGAAUCCUAACAAGGCAACGAUCAGUAGCCGACGUGAGAAGGUGACCAGCCACAUUUGGAAUGAGACUCACCCCGAUCUCCUCGGGGCGGGAGUAGUGGGUAGUAUUGUACAAUGGGGGAGUAACUGACCUAGCGACGCCGCGUGAGUGAAGAAGUAUUUCGGUAUGUAUAGCUCUAUCAGCAGGGAAGAUAAUGACGGUACCUAACUAAGAAGCCCCGGCUAACUACGUG